CUUCCAUAUCAUUUAGUUUACAAAAUUUUAUCUACAAAUUUAGUUUCCUAGCAUUACCUUUUUGUCUACAAAAUUAAUCUUUAUACAAAUUUUGUCUACAAAAGGAGAAAAUGAGAAGGAAAAUUUGAAUGAGAAUCUUCUUUCUUCCUUACAAGAACAAGGGGCAAAGCAAAUCACAUCCUUUGUGGUGGCCUGCGUAUGCUGCUUAAUCCCUCUACGAAAAAAUGAGAAGGAAAAUUUGAACGAGAAUCUUUUUUCUUCCUUACGAAAAUUUUGUCUACAAAUUUAAUCUCUACAAAUUCUAUUCAUGGUUGAGGUGUCUUUUCAGGGAGUUCGUAUGCUGAAAUCUUGCGUUGGAGCUUUUGGGUUCCUAAGAAAGCUAAGGAAGAGAUCUCUAACAUCACUCAGGAUCUCUCUAAGAGCAACUUUUUAUGGGAUCGGUUGCUGUGACUGUUUCUAAGAUGCUGUGAAUAUUUGGUUUCUGGAAUAUGAUUAAUUUUCUUCUUCUUCUUCCAUGCUUGCUUUCUAUGAUGGACAAUGUCCCCUUUUUUUCUUAGUUACACUCCUGUGCUCUCGCAGAGGGAAGCUCAUGGCUCACACUAUCGCUUGGGCCAAUCUCGGCCUCACUCACCCGUCUGACAUCGACGCCCCAAAGAAAUUUGGAUCAUUGGAGCAAGAAGUUGGUUCCUUGCCAUUUUGAGAAUUUUGGGUCAUUGGAGGCAGAAAUUGGUUGCUUGCUUGACACGAUGAGAUUGGAAUGGGUACAAUCUGAGCACUCCUAAAACUGAAAAGUUCUCCAAAGAUUGCGAGAAUGGUUGUGUCAGAUAUGGUUUAUUGUCCAUGCAAGGAUGGCGUACCACAACGGAGGAUGCUAUGAGUGCAUUAAACUUUUCUCUUCCUAUUUGAAGUUGUUUUCAGAACAUAAAUUCUUUUAUGUCCAUUCUCAGAAGUUUCUACUGUUGUAUCAUUUUCCGUCUUUAUUUUGCAUGCUAUAGUUAGGAUUCAACUGAAUAUGAUUUUACUUGACAUGUUCAAAUCCUCAUAAUCAUGUUCUUGAAUUUUACUAUAUGUAUCGUGUUCUUUGCAUUUCAUUA
This is an RNA transcript of Malus domestica (apple), 1094 nucleotides long. RefSeq lists it as uncharacterized. The record is from RefSeq and is a predicted model, not a curated record. Lineage: Eukaryota; Viridiplantae; Streptophyta; Magnoliopsida; Rosales; Rosaceae.